RNAcentral lists this unclassified non-coding RNA (1072 nucleotides) under leaf metagenome. RNAcentral's name for it is "partial contains internal transcribed spacer 1, 5.8S ribosomal RNA, internal transcribed spacer 2, and large subunit ribosomal RNA". The stretch from base 487 to 1072 matches the Rfam family "Eukaryotic large subunit ribosomal RNA", at positions 1 to 598 of the family's 3401-position model. The record is from RNAcentral.
UGAGUUUACGCUCUAUAACCCUUUGUGAACAUACCUAUAACUGUUGCUUCGGCGGGUAGGGUCUCCGCGACCCUCCCGGCCUCCCGCCCCCGGGCGGGUCGGCGCCCGCCGGAGGAUAACCAAACUCUGAUUUAACGACGUUUCUUCUGAGUGGUACAAGCAAAUAAUCAAAACUUUUAACAACGGAUCUCUUGGUUCUGGCAUCGAUGAAGAACGCAGCGAAAUGCGAUAAGUAAUGUGAAUUGCAGAAUUCAGUGAAUCAUCGAAUCUUUGAACGCACAUUGCGCCCGCCAGCAUUCUGGCGGGCAUGCCUGUUCGAGCGUCAUUUCAACCCUCAAGCUCUGCUUGGUGUUGGGGCCCUACAGCUGAUGUAGGCCCUCAAAGGUAGUGGCGGACCCUCCCGGAGCCUCCUUUGCGUAGUAACUUUACGUCUCGCACUGGGAUCCGGAGGGACUCUUGCCGUAAAACCCCCAAUUUUCCAAAGGUUGACCUCGGAUCAGGUAGGAAUACCCGCUGAACUUAAGCAUAUCAAUAAGCGGAGGAAAAGAAACCAACAGGGAUUGCCUCAGUAACGGCGAGUGAAGCGGCAACAGCUCAAAUUUGAAAUCUGGCCCUAGGCCCGAGUUGUAAUUUGCAGAGGAUGCUUUUGGUGCGGUGCCUUCCAAGUUCCCUAGAACGGGACGCCAGAGAGGGUGAGAGCCCCGUACAGUUGGACACCAAGCCUUUGUAAAGCUCCUUCGACGAGUCGAGUAGUUUGGGAAUGCUGCUCAAAAUGGGAGGUAUAUUUCUUCUAAAGCUAAAUACCGGCCAGAGACCGAUAGCGCACAAGUAGAGUGAUCGAAAGAUGAAAAGCACUUUGAAAAGAGGGUUAAACAGCACGUGAAAUUGUUAAAAGGGAAGCGCUUGUGACCAGACUUGCGUCCGGUGAAUCACCCAGCUCUCGCGGCUGGGGCACUUCGCCGGCUCAGGCCAGCAUCAGCUCGCUGUCGGGGACAAAAGCUUCAGGAACGUAGCUCUCUUCGGGGAGUGUUAUAGCCUGUUGCAUAAUACCCUUCGGCGGGCUGAGGUACGC